CGAAGCCGGGAGCAGCGAUGGGAGCAGCACCCCUGUAGUCCUGGCCGUAAACGAUGAACACUAGGUGUCGGGGGAAUCGACCCCCUCGGUGUCGUAGCCAACGCGUUAAGUGUUCCGCCUGGGGAGUACGCACGCAAGUGUGAAACUCAAAGGAAUUGACGGGGGCCCGCACAAGCGGUGGAGUAUGUGGUUUAAUUCGAUGCAACGCGAAGAACCUUACCAGGGUUUGACAUCCUGCGAAUCCCUUGGAAACGAGGGAGUGCCUUCGGGAGCGCAGAGACAGGUGGUGCAUGGCUGUCGUCAGCUCGUGUCGUGAGAUGUUGGGUUAAGUCCCGCAACGAGCGCAACCCACGUCGUUAGUUGCCAGCAUUCAGUUGGGCACUCUAGCGAGACCGCCGGUGAUAAACCGGAGGAAGGUGUGGAUGACGUCAAGUCAUCAUGCCCCUUACAUCCUGGGCUACACACGUACUACAAUGCUACGGACAAAGGGCAGCGAGCUCGCGAGAGUAAGCAAAUCCCAUAAAGCGUGGCUCAGUUCAGAUCGUAGGCUGCAACUCGCCUACGUGAAGGAGGAAUCGCUAGUAAUCGCAGGUCAGCAUACUG
RNAcentral lists this ribosomal RNA (603 nucleotides) under Synechococcus sp. HS-9. RNAcentral's name for it is "bacterial SSU rRNA". It matches the Rfam family "Bacterial small subunit ribosomal RNA", at positions 754 to 1359 of the family's 1533-position model. The record is from RNAcentral. Lineage: Bacteria; Bacillati; Cyanobacteriota; Cyanophyceae; Synechococcales; Synechococcaceae.